UGAUCCUCGGAUCAGAGAACGGAAGAAGCCA
RNAcentral lists this non-coding RNA (31 nucleotides) under Mus musculus (house mouse). The record is from RNAcentral. Lineage: Eukaryota; Metazoa; Chordata; Mammalia; Rodentia; Muridae.